AAAGUCGUAACAAGGUAACCGUAGGUGAACCUGCGGUUGGAUCAUUGAUUUAUUCAGAGUAUCCUGUAACCUGUGAAAAAUCUGCUAAGCGUCCCUCAUUGUUAGGUCGCUUAGUAUUCGUCACUGUCAAAGAGUUCUGCGACAUACUGAACCAAUAUGUGAAUUAAACCGUAACCAAUUUCUUUAAACCUAACAAAAUUACAACUUCUGACAAUGGAUCUCUUGAGUCCU
Molecule: unclassified non-coding RNA, 231 nt
Filed under: fungal sp.
Lineage: Eukaryota; Fungi
Description: partial internal transcribed spacer region
Rfam family: Eukaryotic small subunit ribosomal RNA (bases 1-47)
Source: RNAcentral